RNAcentral lists this ribosomal RNA (158 nucleotides) under Kluyveromyces marxianus. RNAcentral describes it as "5.8S rRNA". It matches the Rfam family "5.8S ribosomal RNA". Rfam says of the family: 5.8S ribosomal RNA (5.8S rRNA) is a component of the large subunit of the eukaryotic ribosome. Lineage: Eukaryota; Fungi; Ascomycota; Saccharomycetes; Saccharomycetales; Saccharomycetaceae. The record is from RNAcentral.
AAACUUUCAACAACGGAUCUCUUGGUUCUCGCAUCGAUGAAGAACGCAGCGAAUUGCGAUAUGUAUUGUGAAUUGCAGAUUUUCGUGAAUCAUCAAAUCUUUGAACGCACAUUGCGCCCUCUGGUAGUCCAGGGGGCAUGCCUGUUUGAGCGUCAUUU